Non-coding RNA from Anas platyrhynchos (mallard), 7126 nucleotides. Lineage: Eukaryota; Metazoa; Chordata; Aves; Anseriformes; Anatidae. The record is from RefSeq and is a predicted model, not a curated record.
CUAAGGUUAAUCUUUUACAGAUAUCCUGGGAAAUCUCAGCUUGGCCAACGUAUCUUAUGGCCUAUCUACAUAGGCAACAACCUAAAAGCACUUCUCAAAGCUUGGUGGUGCAGGCAGAGAGUCAUUUGUUAAUGCUGCUUGAUGCAGUCCCUAGUCAUCUACUGUGGUUGUUUCAAAUGAAUUUGCCAGCUAGGGAAGGGAUUGAAAUACUCUCUGAAUCCUACAGCUUACUUGGGAUGCUGAGUUGGUUCCUAGCUUUUCUGUUUCCUUUUGGCUGGUGGAGUAUCAGUGAAAGCACCCUGCUGUGCUCAGUCACUGCAGUUGUCUACUCUGUGAGAUCACACGUUGUUAACCAGAUCCUUGUUUCCCUGGGAAGGUUUUGUGGUGUGCCUUCUCAGGAGGUAAUUGGUCCUGCACUUGCUGGGCUUUGUAGCUGCAAAGGAGAGACUCCACUGGGUGGAACUGGCAUUUUUCCAUCUGCCACCCACUGUGAAUUGAGGGAAGGUUUUCUGGAGGUGGGGGACAGGAGGCAGCACCUUGUUGCCUACAGCCUGUAGCACAGACGAAGUGCUGUGCAGGGGGCAGCCUGUCUUCCCCAGCAAACUCCCAGGCAUGGAUGAGACCUGCUGAAGAAAGGAGACCUGCUGAAGAAAGGCAUUGCUCACAUGCUUGAGGGAGUACUUACAGGGGAAGAGCUGGGGUUGGGCUGGUUGGGCAGUAAUUCAAGAAAGAAUUGGGCUGGGUACGUGAGGUGAGGCAGCAGCUCAAGUUUUUCAUGAGAACGAAAGGUGGCUGCUGGUGGUGUGCUUGCCCUUUGUGCCUGGCUGUAAGGGAGGAUGAGGAAAAUCCAAAGGGUUCCUGAGAGCUGCAAAAGUAAUGGGGAGCAGCUGUGCUGCCAGCUGCUUCUGAGAUCAAAGGGCUGAGCGCUUACUAAGAAGUUUGGCCUCUGGGGAGUGUUUUAUCUAGCAUAGGGAAGGAGAGCCAAAUACUUGAUCCAGAGACAAGCCUGGGGCAAGCUGGUUGCAUGAGGGGUAGAGGUUUUUGUUUCCUGGUAUGUGGACAGUGAUAAGGCGCUCCUAUAGAGUUUGGGAACCACUGCUCUGCUUUAACCUCAGCCUUCUACGGAGCCGUGCCAGUCCUCUUGGCUGAUGGAAGGAAAGAGUUUUAUUGAGAUUAAUGGAUGAUAAUGCAGCAAGCUGGGAACAGACCACAAAGAUCACUCGCUUCUUUCCAGCCCCACGUUUGAGCAAGUGCUUAUGCAUAUUUAGAAAUUGGUGGGUGCAGAACAAAUAGAGAACAAACAUUAAUGCUGACAAAGGGGAUAUAAAAGCUGAGGCAGCUGGAUAAUGUGUUAUGCAAAAUCAAUCUAAAUGGAAUAUAUUUGCCUUUUUGUUUUGCAAAUGGUGACCGAGUCAGGAACCUAUCUGGAGAAACAAAGCUGUAUGUGAUUGACAAUGGCAGGAAUAGGAGUUAACUUUGGUAGCGCUGUUUUGUUUGAGGAAAUAUUAAUAUUGUUAGUAUUAAUAUGGGAGAAUCUAAAAAGUUAGACAUAAGGAUGAGGAAAAAGAACUUGGACUAUCCAAAGCAAUACUAAAGCUGUUGUGGUUGUAGAAAGAAUGCAGCAAGAUUUGGCACAGCUUAGUUCUGGGUAAUGUUGGAGAGACAAAAAUGAAUGCUAAUCUAAGGCUGCUUGAAAGGGAGGAAAUGGGGCUUAAUGGAAGGAGGAGCUUUAGCUUUGUCUUAGCUGCAUCUUGCUCUGGUUUGAUGAGAAAUACCCAUUUUGGAGAAGCUAGCCAAGAUGUACAGUUGGAUUCUUGGGGAAAAAACAAAACACAGGAAACACAUUCAUGUCAUCAGCCUGAUGAUUGCAUAGAAAUUGAGCGUUAUAAUGUUUUUGUUGGAUUUUUUUUUGUUAUUUUUUUCCACAGGCUGCCUUUUGGUUUAUCUGUAAAGCUUCUAAGAGUGGUUUGGAAAUACCAAAGAUUUAAAACAGUCUUGAGGUAGCUUGGAAGAUGCUGCUAUUACUGUUAAUUGCAAUCUGCAGUAGGACUGUUUGCCCAGUACUGCAGAGCCACUGUGGAGAUCUGUACGUGUAGAGUGAGUCCCUGCUACACACACAAACACUCACGAAAAGCAAAAAGGAAGGCUUAGAGGAGUAUUUCCUUUCCCACUUAUGGAAGGUAAUAGCAAGUCAGUGGCUGAUCUGGGGUUAGAGCGAAGACUCAUUAUAGCCAAUCUAGUACUCUAGCUACUAGAUCGUAGUUCCUGUGGUGCUGUUAAUUAAAUAUUAAUACGUGCGUUGUUUCUGUCUUUGGUAUGUCCUUAUGUGCUGGCUAUACUGGAACAUGUUUGAACUGUUUCAGUCAUUUUUAUUUUUGGGAUAGAGCUUAAAGAGUAAAAAUAGAGACUAAUCCAAUUCAUGGGGUAUUAAACAUCCACCUUCUGAAUAUUAACAGUUUCUUAAGUAUCUACUACAAACCAAGGCAAUUCUUUGUAGAUCGUCUCUUCUGGCAGAGCAAAAAUAUGGCUUCUGAUCCAUCCUUGGAAGUUUACUUUCAGCACUGCUUAAAACUUUUAAUGCAGCCAUAUACAGGAGCAAAAAGGGGGAGCUGAAGUGAUUUGCACAGUUUUGAGCUUUCCAGAGAGUGUGUUGAGAUGGCUAUGCCAAAUUUCUUUGAGCUGGCUGUAUUGUAACAAGUUAGUUGGCUUUAGUUAAUAGAAUAUGGAUAUAUUUUUUGCACUUGAAGAAUAUCCUAAGCAGUAGUGUAUGCUGUUCUGUCUGGCAGAGAGCUAAACACUUAUUCUCCCCACCCACUAUCAAAUGAAGAUGAGCAUUGAUGUUAAUAUUAUUGUUGUUAAUAUCUAAGCUGGAUGUCUAGGUUCACUGGAUCCCAGUAAUCUUAAGUUUUCUGCAUUGUACACCAGUAGGGUUGUAGAGGCUGCAAAGGGUCUGAGUUUUAUCAAGUGGUUGUAGCUGAAAAAUAGCAUGUUCCUUGGUUAAUUGCAAAGACAAGUAUUUCAAAUCUUUAUCAAAGUCUGUACCUUUCUUCGGUACUACCCAAUUGAAUAUAUGUUUUUUAAAAGUGAAUAAUUUUGCUGAGGGAAACUAGUGCUGUGUUGCACUGCAACUUCCAAAAGUUCUUGUAGCUUGACACCAAAAUUUGGCAUUGGGACGAUAGCCUUAGUGAACUAGACACCAUACAGGCAUUGGACCAACACAGACAGUGCUUUGUGCAGCAAGGUUUCUUCUUUGAUACUGAAAUUAAGAGUUAAAUUAGUCAGCUUUUGCAGUACAGACACAAAACCAAGCAGUUAAGCAUUGGUUCUUGAGCCUGUCAUUUUGUUAGAUAGUAAAUCCAACUUCAGAGCUCCUAGUGUUGGAACAAGUUGUAGCCCAAUAAACUUAUUUAAAUGUGUUCAAAUACUUUUAUAAAGCUUUAUGACAGUUCUGGUAUCGUAUACAUGCUGUAUCACGUACUUGCAACUGAGUAGACAGAAAUGAAGUCACGUGUUCCAAAUACCAAUGGAUUUCGUACUGCUGCAUGGGACGUGGGGACUCAGCUUCGUGUUAGGUACUGUGGAAUCUAAGAUGCGUAGAGGCUCUGUACCUGCACUGAUCUUAAGAUAAGUAGCAGCAGUAAACAUUUAGCAGCUCAGAGUAAUGGGCAUCUUGGCCAGAUGUCUAAAUGUAUUUGUGUGACCAGCAUGCCUUUGCAAUUAAGUCUUCAAAAUGAUGUAGGUGUCCUGAGGUUAGAUCUUCAAAAGCGGUGCUGAGCAUUGUGAUGUCUUUUUGUAGGCAGUUUGUUUCCCAAUGGCAUUAACAGCCGUCAACAGGAUUCCUAGCCCCACAGAGCUCAUUUACUCAGGUGCUUAGAAAGGAGAUGCAGAAAAAGCAGCUGCUAUGAAGUGUGAAGGACUGUGGUGCACCUUCAGGUUAUCUCAUUCUGCAAUUUAGUUCAGUCUGCUCUGAUGGAAAUAGGAGUUUUGGUGGUGGUGGAUUUUUUUUUUUUUUUUUGGGGGGGUGACCUUCUACAAAUAAUUCUGCAGUUCCGUACUGCUCUGACAGCUUCCCAUUCAAUGCAACAAACAGAGCAAUGCUACUUGCUUUGUAAAGCACUUUGCGAGAGCUGCAGGUGCAUGCAGCAUUCACAGAAUUCACUUCAAAAUGUCUGAUGAGCUCUGGCCAUGUCUUUCUCCCUCUGAAGACUGCUGAUCAGAGAGCGGUGGCUUUGACCAGGACUCCAGGGUGAAACAAGUCCUGUCUUUACCUGUCUGGGGGAUGAUGUAAGUGAAGGAAGUGGCAUAGGUUUUAUUCUGCUUAAGGCAAGACUGCGGUGUGCUGGAAAAUGUGGCUCCAUUUAGGUGGCAACAUUGAAGAGAAUAGAGAGAUGAAGGGUAACUAAGGGUAACAUGAAGCAUUUGGUAUAUUUAUAAAAAUGUGAAAUGGCUUUUCUUAUUUAAAGAAUGGUUGUGCAUCAUUGAAGGCUACAAAAGCAAAGUGGGAACAUUCUUUCCAAAUCAGGAGAAAAGCAAUCCUUAGCAGUUGCUAAUCUAUUUAUGUUCCAGUCAUGCUCAGAGUGUGGCUUUGAGGGCUGAAGCUCUUGUAAUUAAUUGCCUGGAAUAUGUCAUUCUGCAGCAAGAUUCAUUGUUCUCUUCUCCCCAAGAGGAAGGCUGAGAUUUUUAGCUGUAGGACUUCCCUGUAAAACAAGCAGAGAGACAUGGCUAAAUUCCCAUGUAUUGUUUUGUGGAAACACUACUAAUUAUGGCUCCCAUUACAAGCAUGUCAUUUCUAUGUGAUCUAGACAGAAAUUGAUGCAUUUGGUGGGAAGCAGCCAAUGCUUUAUUCUGGGGAUAAUACACAGGCUUUAGGUUUUGAUCCCUGUUGAUAGAGGUCCUUAAACUUUACAGAAUCAGUAGGAUGCUUAUUUAGUUCCCUGGUUUCUCAAAAGGACUUUAUUUUUAAUUUUCUUUUUCUCAGCUUCUUCCUGCCAGGUUCCCUUUGCUAUUCCCCAAGCAAUGCUCAAAAUAUUUACACACUAUGCCAAAUUAAAUGAGAGUGAACUCAAAGCUCCAUGCCUGUGUGAAGAUUUAGAGGGGCAAGAUUCAGCAGGGACUGAGCAUGCUUUCAAGAAGCUAUGUAAGAUACGGCUUCAAAAGGACCUUCAGCCCAACCUCACUUACAUUACUUUGUAUGGGAACCUUUCUCCUCUAUGUCUUCCCUUCCCCUGAACAGAAAUGAAUGCGUUUUUAAAUAGCGAAGCAUUCCUGUAGCUUCCUUUCAAGUCCCCGAGGUAUUGUUGGCUGUGGGAACCUCCCUAUAUAGCUCCUGUGGAACUAGGAGCUUGGAGCAUAGCCAUGACACUUCCAUGUAAGAAAGCACACAUGCUCUGUGCAAAACUUUUCACUGAUGUUGGUAGACUGGAUGGAAGAGCCAAUUUUUAUCCUAUAGAUUCACUGCUUUUGUAAAUGACAACCUACACCGACUUUUCUUACUUGGGGACUGAAAGUGGAGUUGCUGUUAAGUUUCAACUGCAUAUGAGUGACUGUCUGGUCCUUUGAUGCAUGGCCUGAUCAAGUGAACUAUAUGCUGAUGACCUCUAGGAAGAGGAGCUGUGAAGAACAGGUCUUUCUGCCUGUCAGAAGAAACACAGAACAGUUGAAGCUGGAGGAGACCUCUGGAAGUCGUUUGGUCCAACUCCCCUGCCCAAGCAGGGCCACCUGGAGCUGGUUGUCCAGGAGGCUUUUGAAGAUCUCAACUCUCUCCAGGCAACCUGAGUCACUGCUCAGUCAACCUGACAUUGGAAAAAGCGUUCCCUGAUGUUCAGAUGGACCCUCCUAUGUUUGUGCUUACAGCCUCUUGCCCUGUCACAGGACACCACUGAAAUGAGCCUGGCUUCAUCUUCUGUAUACCCUCCAUUCAGAACAAUAAUGGUGCGGUUUCUGGAGCACAGAGAAGUACCCUUUAGCAACAUCAGCAAUCCAGUGAAGGACUUCUUGAAGGAAACUGCUUGAAAUCCAGGCUUUAAGCAAAUGAGUAACUUGGAACAAAGAAAAGACUUCAAGUGUUUGGAAACCUGUAAACUCUUCAAAAAUCAUCAUUAAUAGAAUUCAAGCCCUGUAAGAAGAGGCAGCCAUGGAAGAUUCACAUACCUGCAACUAUUGGAGGUAGCUUUUGUGGAUUGAUAGUGCAGCAAUUCAGAUGUGAGGGGAAUGUGAAAAACAGGUACACUGCAUUUUACUUCAGUACCUGAUGCCUACCUUGCUGGAUGGGCCUCUCCUGUUGGGUAAGAUGUUCAGUUUACAUUGCUUCCACAUAUUCAUCUUAGAGACACUAAAAUAAAAAAACUACCCUGUUUACUCCCUAUAUGACCUCUUCAGUACAAAUGCCUUAGUAAGGUAUUACUAAGAUUUACUAUUUCUGCUGAAUGCUUCUCAUCUUAAAUGAAAACAUCCUCAGAACCUCCACAGGUAAGUUGUGCAUAUCAGUAACAAUUGCACACUGAGGAUAUUUCCUGACCUAUACCUAAGAGAACUGGACAGAACUUUCCUAUAGAAAUGAUAUCUCUAUAGUCCGAUAUAUACAAAAGUAUGCCAUUAAUGAAUGACAGCAUAUUUUUAAUAGUGUAAAGUUAGUUACUGGUUCUAAUAUAAAGGUAGGGCAAUUGCGCAGUGACACAGCUAUGUAGCUGUGGCAAUGACUAUACAAAGCGGUCUGAAGUAAGGACUUUUUCUGAUUUAUUCACAGCUUAAUAUGCAAAUUGAGUCAUAGUAACAGCCUGACUGAAAGUAACAACACAAAAUGAAGCAAAUGGAAUUAUUUUUUUCAUUUGAAUUGCCUACAUGUUCAACUGAUAUAAUUCUUCUAAAUAUUUCCAGAUCUAGCUGGCUGUUUCAGUGAAAUUUAUUCAUGGUUAAGAAUAGCAUACAUAAUCCUCAAGCUGAAAUAGAUGCAAUCUAUGCCCAAAUUCUUCUUCAAGCUGCAAGAAAAGGGAUGUGAAUAUCAACUUGAGUCAAACUCAAAAAGGUUUAACAUUACAGAACUUUCUGUAAUGUAUCUUUCUUUCUCCCUUUCAAUAUAAUCAAAUUCAGGUAGGGAAUCCUCACUUUCUUUACCACAGAAUUAUUG